CGAUGCUGGAGUGACAACUUUGUGCAAGAAAACGGUCGCUCUUUAUAUCAUAAUUAGGUCAUUAGUGCAAUAACGACUACGACCAGACGGAAUAUUAUUUUUAUUAUGGUGUGAAACCAGUUCCAUCUUCAGCACUGUAACACUGAUUGCCAGAGCCUGAGGGGUGACGGCAUGGCGGAGGGCGAUGAAAGCGCAGGUGGGGAGUGGAAAGAGAAAUGCAUGGCCCUCGAGGCCCUGCUCUUCAAGUUCCGUGGACAAAUGAGCGUGAUCCGAGAGCUCACGGCAGAAAAGAUGCAGCAGCUGGAGACGCAGGUACUGGAAGCAGAGCGUCGAGCAUAUGAGGCCAGCCAGCAG
Long non-coding RNA from Sinocyclocheilus anshuiensis, 354 nucleotides. RefSeq lists it as uncharacterized. The transcript is spliced from 3 exons. NCBI's taxonomy places the organism in Eukaryota, Metazoa, Chordata, Actinopteri, Cypriniformes, Cyprinidae. The record is from RefSeq and is a predicted model, not a curated record.